GAGCACGCGCGUGUGGCAUAUCAAUAAGCGGAGGAAAAGAAACUAACAAGGAUUCCCCUAGUAACGGCGAGUGAAGCGGGAAGAGCUCAAAUUUGAAAUCUUAAAGGGUUUCCCUUUACGAAUUGUAGUUUAAAGAAGUGUUUUCUGUUGGAGUUUCGGUAAAAGUUCUUUGGAAUAGGACAUCAUAGAGGGUGAGAAUCCCGUAUUUGACCGUUACUUUCCAGCUGUGUGAUACACUUUCAAAGAGUCGGAUUGUUUGGGAAUGCAGUCCAAAAUGGGUGGUAAAUUUCAUCUAAAGCUAAAUAUUGGCGAGAGACCGAUAGCGAACAAGUACCGUGAGGGAAAGAUGAAAAGAACUUUGAAAAGAGAGUUAAACAGUACGUGAAAUUGUCAAAAGGGAAGCGUUUGACACCAGUGUUGUUUAGUUGAAAAUCGAUUAAAUAUUUUUCGAUUUUAAGUAGUAUUGACCUUAUCAGCUUGCUGCUUUUUUCUCGGAAAUUAUUUAAUGCACUUUUCAGUUAACAAGUCAACAUCAAUUUCUUUUGUUGUAAAAAGGUAAGAGGAAGGUGGCUUGCGCUUCGGCUCAAGUGUUUAUAGCCUUUUACCCCUGCAAUCGGAGAGAUUGAGGUCUGCAGCGUAGAUCCUUCGGGGUUAGAUACAGUUUGUGCUAAGUUAUAGCUUUUCAUAGACAACUUGUUGACUAUGUUUAGUCUUGUAGCUUACUCGCUGAUGCUAUUUUACCUACGCUUAGGAUGUUGA
RNAcentral lists this ribosomal RNA (759 nucleotides) under uncultured Neocallimastigales. RNAcentral's name for it is "partial large subunit ribosomal RNA". It matches the Rfam family "Eukaryotic large subunit ribosomal RNA", at positions 19 to 629 of the family's 3401-position model. Lineage: Eukaryota; Fungi; Neocallimastigomycota; Neocallimastigomycetes; Neocallimastigales. The record is from RNAcentral.